GACGAACGCUGGCGGCGUGCUUAACACAUGCAAGUCGAACGGAAAGGCCCUGCUUUUGUGGGGUGCUCGAGUGGCGAACGGGUGAGUAACACGUGAAUAACCUGCCCUUGACUUUGGGAUAACUUCAGGAAACUGGGGCUAAUGCCGGAUAGGAGCUCCUGCUGCAUGGUGGGGGUUGGAAAGUUUCGGCGGUUGGGGAUGGACUCGCGGCUUAUCAGCUUGUUGGUGGGGUAGUGGCUUACCAAGGCUUUGACGGGUAGCCGGCCUGAGAGGGUGACCGGCCACAUUGGGACUGAGAUACGGCCCAGACUCCUACGGGAGGCAGCAGUGGGGAAUAUUGCACAAUGGGCGGAAGCCUGAUGCAGCAACGCCGCGUGCGGGAUGACGGCCUUCGGGUUGUAAACCGCUUUCGCCUGUGACGAAGCGUGAGUGACGGUAAUGGGUAAAGAAGCACCGGCUAACUACGUG
This 468-nucleotide ribosomal RNA is filed under the name uncultured bacterium. RNAcentral's name for it is "partial 16S ribosomal RNA". It matches the Rfam family "Bacterial small subunit ribosomal RNA", at positions 28 to 507 of the family's 1533-position model. The record is from RNAcentral.